GCUGAUUCAGAUGUGUGCGGCCCAGCAGAGGUAAACUUUUGGACCAGAUGCCAUGAACUUUGGCCUCGAGUCAAGUGCGGCCGUCAGCGCGGGCGAUGCUCACAGUGUGGGCCUGCUGCGCCAUCAGAACUCAAGUGGGCUGCCUGCGUGGGAACCUAAAAAUAGGCGGCGCGUCCCCACCCAGAGCAGCUGCUGCUGCGCUGCUGAACUUGCUUUGUAUAAUGCAAUUAUAAACACUCUCCUUUAUAAGAAGUGUUUGCUCCAAGGAGGCUCUCCACAAAUGAAGAGCAUGGAGCCGUCAGAGGAAGUGGCGCCGGCACUGUCGCAGGUGUGCGACCCUCCGGCUGCGUUUCAAUUAGGCCUUGCUGCUGCAGCCACUCCACCGCCCCUGCCGGACGCGGUGUUGGAGACGGAGAUCGACAGGCUUGGACCUUGGUCAGCCAGCUGCAGCAGCAGCAUCCGGGCCUCCGGACGCCAGCGCUUCCCUGGCAGCCGCUUGUUUCAUUUGGACCUCUGCAAUGUUUACGUUGAGGGAUCGUUCGGGGAACACGUGCAAAAGCUGGACUGCACUGGAAGCGGCAGCUCUAUUAUUUAGCGAGCAGAAACAAUGAGCUGCAGUUGCAUAAGGGUGCAGACAGCGGUGAUUAAUAUAGGUGAGAUUAGCUGAAUUAGCAAAUUCAGUACGAGAGCCUUUUGAGUUAAUUUAAAAAUACCUCUCUGCAGUGGGACCUCUGCACACGCUCACUCAUUCACACCAGGCCUAGUGUUUACCUGUUUAAUCAGUCAUUUUAAAACUGAAUACAUUUGUCCUACAUGGGAUAAAUGUACUGUAGGCUUUUUUCCGUUGCCCCAGUGUCAGUGAAAUGAUAUUCAGGCUUUCAAAUUGAAGGACUCGACGUAAUCAGCUCACUUCUUAGUGUGUCUCUGUUUAUUUCUCUGCAGAUUAUGAGCAAGAGGCUUCAGGGGAUUUUGGCAGCGGCAAUGAUGAUGACGAAUGUAAACAGAAACCGCAACAGAUCCACACCCAGCAGCUACUGAGGAGGACGAUGAAGCUGGAUGUGUUUGGUAGUUCUGCCCCAUCUGCUCCGCCAUCAUCCACCCAGGAAUCCGAAAUUCAUUUCCAUCUUUAAAAUGGUUCAAGCUCGCUUUCAACCAGCGGAGCAGCGUGUGCAUCUUUUAUCUUGGCUUUAUUAUUGUUUUGGAACAACUUUAUGACUUUAUGGCUAUAACAUUUAACAGUCCCAGAUGAGGCUCAUUUAGAUCUGACUUAGAUUUCUUCUUCUCUGCCUGUCUUUAUUUGCCCACUUGCCCCUUUUGUUCUGGUUUCGUCGUGUCGUCCAUGUGAAAGCGUAUCAUUGUCAGAACCUCGUCUAGGAGGUCACAGAUAUUAGCGUACUGUACAUAUGGUCAUAAAUAUGGAUUUUUUUUAAUGUUUACAGUCAAUGUCAGACUGAAAUAGCUCAUAUACGUUGGAGGUAAAUAUAUAAAUAUACAUUAAAGUCAAACUCAAACUUACUCUAUUUAGCUUUUUACCUUUCAUAAAGAAGCCCAUGUUCUACCAGGUUUGGCCUGUUUGAAAAAGAAAAAGCUUUCCUUUUCAAGCACACCUAAAGGGAAAUAACAGAAAUCAGGCUACUUUGAAAAUCGAGAUACAAAGGUUGCAGCACCAAACUGUCAAUGAAGCAUCUUGAAGAGUUGGGAGAUUUUGAUCUGUCGAAGUGUGAUGCAUGUCUGAGGCGAGUUCAGGUCUCUCUCUGGAGUCUGCUCCUCCUGAUGGAUGAGUGUUCGUGCUUUCAAGGUUUUCUGGGUUGGCAAAAACAUUUGUCUCCUUGGGUCUUAUUAUAACUAACCAGCAUGUUCUAGCUGUGAAACACUAUUACUAUUAAAAUGAUGCAUAAAUCAUUGUGUCCACAAAUGAGGAGAUAAAUGGGCACAAUGUUGGCGCUAUUUCAAUAUUAGAAUAAAACGUAUUGUUCACAUUGGCGUAAAUACUAU
Molecule: long non-coding RNA, 1995 nt
Filed under: Betta splendens (Siamese fighting fish)
Lineage: Eukaryota; Metazoa; Chordata; Actinopteri; Anabantiformes; Osphronemidae
Description: lncRNA (ENSBSLG00000021877.1)
Source: RNAcentral